Molecule: long non-coding RNA, 230 nt
Filed under: Elaeis guineensis (African oil palm)
Lineage: Eukaryota; Viridiplantae; Streptophyta; Magnoliopsida; Arecales; Arecaceae
Description: long non-coding RNA (EGUI_LNC001813)
Source: RNAcentral
AACAGGAGAUUGACCACAACAGAUUGACGCGCCAGGAAGGAGAGAUACGAGCAAUCAUGGCAAAAAUCAGAGCUCAACAUUCAACAGGAUCUGUGAGAUAAUCUUUUCGCAGAAAAGAUAUUUCUCCCCCACCUCCAUUGGCAAAGUCCAACUCUUUGGUCCUGUAAUUACUAUGGACGCACAAAUUGCUGUCCUAAUACAAGAAAUGAAAGUAUUAAUGGAGGCGGUCC